RNAcentral lists this ribosomal RNA (1461 nucleotides) under uncultured Bordetella sp. RNAcentral describes it as "partial 16S-23S ribosomal RNA intergenic spacer". It matches the Rfam family "Bacterial small subunit ribosomal RNA". The record is from RNAcentral. Lineage: Bacteria; Pseudomonadati; Pseudomonadota; Betaproteobacteria; Burkholderiales; Alcaligenaceae.
GGUUCGAUUCUGGCUCAGAUUGAACGCUGGCGGGAUGCUUUACAUUACGGCAAGUCGAACGGCAGCACGACUUCGGUCUGGUGGCGAGUGCGAACGGGUGAGUAAUGUAUCGGAACGUGCCUAGAGUAGGGAUAACGAUGCUGGAGCAGUAGCCAAUACCGCAUACGUUCCUUCGGGAAAGUGGGGGACCUUUCGCCUCGCACUAUUAGAGCGGCCGAUAUCGGAUUAGCUAGUUGGUGGGGUAACGGCUCACCAAGGCGAUUAUCCGUAGCUGGUUUGAGAGGACGACCAGCCACACUGGGACUGGAGAGAUGACGGCCCAGACUCCGGCAUGGGAGGCAGCAGUGGGGAAAUUGGACAAUGGGGAAACCCUGAUCCAGCCAUCCGCGUGUGCGAUGAAGGCCUUCGGGUUGUAAAGCACUUUUGGCAGGAGUAAACGGCACGGGAUAAUACCCUCGUGCAACUGAUUGGUACCUGCAGAAUAAACACCGGCUAACUACGUGCCAGCAGCUGCGGUAAUAGCGUAGGGUGCACCGGAAUUACUGGGCGUAAAGGUGCGCAGGCGGUUCGGAAAGAAAGAUGUGAAAUCCCAGAGCUUAACUUUGAACUGCAUUUUUAACUACCGAGCUAGAGUGUGUCAGAGGGAGGUGGAAUUCCGCGUGUAGCAGUGAAAUGCGCAGAUACGCGGAGGAACAAUCGAUGGCGAAGGCAGCCUCGAUAACAUCGACGCUCGCAUGCACUGCGCGCAAGGAGCAAACAGGAUUAGCGGUCUGGUAGUCCACGCCCUAAAACGAUGUCAAUCUAGCUGUUGGGGCUUCGGGCCUUGUAGCGCAACUAACGCGUGAAGUUGACCGCUCUGGGGAGUACGAUCGCAAGAUUAAAACUCAAAGGAAUUGACGGGGACCUGCACAAGCGGUGGAUGAUGUGGAUUAAUUUGAUGCAACGCGAAAAACCUUACUCUACUCGAUACGUUCAACCUGAAGAGAUUUGGGAGGCUGCAAGAGAACCGGAACAGGUGUUGCAUGGUUGUCAGCUCAAAAUGAGAUGUUGGGUUAAGUCCUACAACGAGCGCAACCCUUGUCAUUAGUUGCUACGAAAGGGCACUCUAUCGAGACUGCCGGUGACAAACCGAGGAAGGUGGGGAUGAUUACCAAGUCCUCAUGGCUCUGCGGGUAGGGCUUCACACGUCAUACAAUGGUCGGGACAGAGGGUCGCCAACCCGCGAGGGGGAGCCAAUCCCAGAAACCCGAUUUGUAGUCCGGAUCGCAGUCUGCACCGAUCGCAGUAAAGUCGGAAUCGCUAGUAAUCGUAUCAGCAUGUCGCGUGAAUAUGUUCCUCUGGGUCUUGUACACACCGCCCGUCACACCAUGGGCGGGUUUUACCAGAAGUAGUUAGCCCAACUCGCAAGGAGGAAGUAUUACUUACGGUAGGAUCAUGAUCAGUAAGUCGUAAUAAAGGCAG